CUACCUACGGGAGGCAGCAGUGAGGAAUAUUGGCCAAUGGCCGCAGGGCUGAACCAGCCAAGUCACGUGAGGGAUGACGGUCCGAUGGAUUGUAAACUUCUUUUGUCAGGGAGCAAAGGGCGCCACGUGUGGCGUUUUGCGAGUACCUGAAGAAAAAGCAUCGGCUAACUCCGUGCCAGCAGCCGCGGUAAUACGGAGGAUGCGAGCGUUAUCCGGAUUUAUUGGGUUUAAAGGGUGCGCAGGCGGAAUGUCAAGUCAGCGGUAAAAUUUCGGGGAUCAACCCCGUCGUGCCGUU
This 295-nucleotide ribosomal RNA is filed under the name uncultured bacterium. RNAcentral's name for it is "partial 16S ribosomal RNA". It matches the Rfam family "Bacterial small subunit ribosomal RNA", at positions 335 to 628 of the family's 1533-position model. The record is from RNAcentral.